AUUGAACGCUGGCGGCAGGCCUAACACAUGCAAGUCGAACGGUAACAGGAAGAAGCUUGCUUCUUUGCUGACGAGUGGCGGACGGGUGAGUAAUGUCUCGGACACUUCCUGAUGGCGGGGGAUAACUACUGGAAACGGUAGCUAAUACCGCAUAACGUCGCAAGACCAAAGAGGGGGACCUUCUGGCCUCUUGCCAUCGGAUGUGCCCAGAUGGGAUUAGCUAGUAGGUGGGGUAACGGCUCACCUAGGCGACGAUGCCUAGCUGGUCUGAGAGGAUGACCAGCCACACUGGAACUGAGACACGGUCCAGACUCCUACGGGAGGCAGCAGUGGGGAAUAUUGCACAAUGGGCGCAAGCCUGAUGCAGCCAUGCCGCGUGUAUGAAGAAGGCCUUCGGGUUGUAAAGUACUGUCAGCGGGGAGGAAGGGAGUAAAGUUAAUACCUUUGCUCAUUGACGUUACCCGAAGAAGAAGCACCGGCUAACUCCGUG
Molecule: ribosomal RNA, 490 nt
Filed under: uncultured bacterium
Lineage: Bacteria
Description: partial 16S ribosomal RNA
Rfam family: Bacterial small subunit ribosomal RNA
Source: RNAcentral